GCGCCUGUAGCUCAACUGGAUAGAGCAUUAGUCUUCGGAACUAAGGGUUGCUGGUUCGAGUCCAGCCAGGCGCG
This 74-nucleotide transfer RNA is filed under the name Candidatus Omnitrophota bacterium. RNAcentral's name for it is "Candidatus Omnitrophica bacterium (sediment metagenome) tRNA-Arg". It matches the Rfam family "tRNA". From Rfam's summary of the family: Transfer RNA (tRNA) molecules are approximately 80 nucleotides in length. Their secondary structure includes four short double-helical elements and three loops (D, anti-codon, and T loops). Further hydrogen bonds mediate the characteristic L-shaped molecular structure. tRNAs have two regions of fundamental functional importance: the anti-codon, which is responsible for specific mRNA codon recognition, and the 3' end, to which the tRNAs corresponding amino acid is attached (by aminoacyl-tRNA synthetases). tRNAs cope with the degeneracy of the genetic code in two manners: having more than one tRNA (with a specific anti-codon) for a particular amino acid; and 'wobble' base-pairing, i.e. permitting non-standard base-pairing at the 3rd anti-codon position. Lineage: Bacteria; Pseudomonadati; Candidatus Omnitrophota. The record is from RNAcentral.